UACGGGGGGGGCAAGCGUUGUUCGGAAUUACUGGGCGUAAAGGGUUCGUAGGUGGCCUACUAAGUCAUACGUGAAAUCCCUCAGCUUAACUGGGGAACUGCGUCUGAGACUGGAAGGCUUGAGUGCAGGAGAGGAACGCGGAAUUCCUGGUGUAGCGGUGAAAUGCGCAGAUAUCAGGAGGAACACCGGUGGCGAAGGCGGGUCUCUGGGCCGAUACUGACGCUGAGGAGCGAAAGCCAGGGGAGCAAACGGG
RNAcentral lists this ribosomal RNA (253 nucleotides) under uncultured bacterium. RNAcentral's name for it is "partial 16S ribosomal RNA". It matches the Rfam family "Bacterial small subunit ribosomal RNA", at positions 524 to 776 of the family's 1533-position model. The record is from RNAcentral.